Molecule: non-coding RNA, 108 nt
Organism: Populus trichocarpa (black cottonwood)
Lineage: Eukaryota; Viridiplantae; Streptophyta; Magnoliopsida; Malpighiales; Salicaceae
Source: Rfam
UAAUUUGUUUGAGAUAGAUCCUCAUUUGGUUAUGGCAGACUCACAUCUGGUUGCUCAGAAUCAUUUAUUGUUGUGUGAACAAUAACUUUUUAAGAUUUUAAUUGUAGU